This 497-nucleotide ribosomal RNA is filed under the name uncultured bacterium. RNAcentral's name for it is "partial 16S ribosomal RNA". It matches the Rfam family "Bacterial small subunit ribosomal RNA", at positions 28 to 507 of the family's 1533-position model. The record is from RNAcentral.
GAUGAACGCUGGCGGCGUGCCUAAUACAUGCAAGUCGAGCGAGCGGACGAGAAGCUUGCUUCUCUGAUGUUAGCGGCGGACGGGUGAGUAACACGUGGAUAACCUACCUAUAAGACUGGGAUAACUUUGAGAAACCGCAGCUAAUACCGCGUGAUAUUUUGAACCGCAUGGUUCAAAAGUGAAAUACGGUCUUGCUGUUCCUUAUAGCUGGCUCCCCGCUGCAUUAGCUAGUUGGUAACGUAACGGCUUACCAAGGCAACGAUGCCUAGCCGACCUGCGAGGGUGAUCGGCCACACUGGAACUGAGACACGGUCCAGACGCCUACGGGAGGCCGCAGUAGGGACUCUUCCGCAAUGGGCGAAAGCGUGACGGAGCAACGCCGCGUGAGUGAUGAAGGCCGUGCGAUCGUAAAACGCGGUUAGUAGGGAAGAACAGAUGUGUAAGUACCUGUGCACAUCUUGACGGUACCUAAUCAGAAAGCCACGGCUAACUACGUG